This is a non-coding RNA of Phytophthora pseudosyringae, 71 nucleotides long. NCBI's taxonomy places the organism in Eukaryota, Oomycota, Peronosporomycetes, Peronosporales, Peronosporaceae. The record is from the annotation of a GenBank genome assembly.
UAAAUUUUACAGUUGGUUAGAGUAAAAGACUGAAAAUCUUUGUGUCGGUGGUUCAAAUCCAUGAAAUUUAA